AGAAGUCCCUAAAUGACGUCAUCACCUAUUUUGCAUGUAAUUGUGAUGGACGCUGUUGAAGAGAGGAAUAACGUCGUGGGAGAUACAAAAAGGCAGGAUCAGCCAGCGGCGGCUUCCCGCAUGCGCGAUUCAUUUGCAGUCUGGAUGCGGAAGGGUGAACAUCUCCUGCUUUGACUGCAGCUGGGAGGGACUGCUACAUGAGGACUGGGCCGCAUGCGAGUGCUUUGGGACGGGGCCAACUGCAGCACCCGCUGCUCGUUGAGAAGAUCUGCUGUCCCCACAUGCUUCAAGAUGGCCACCAUUGUUC
Non-coding RNA from Salmo salar (Atlantic salmon), 307 nucleotides. Lineage: Eukaryota; Metazoa; Chordata; Actinopteri; Salmoniformes; Salmonidae. The record is from RefSeq and is a predicted model, not a curated record.